This 253-nucleotide ribosomal RNA is filed under the name uncultured bacterium. Its description in RNAcentral is "partial 16S ribosomal RNA". It matches the Rfam family "Bacterial small subunit ribosomal RNA", at positions 524 to 776 of the family's 1533-position model. The record is from RNAcentral.
UACAGAGGUCCCGAGCGUUGUUCGGAUUCACUGGGCGUAAAGGGUGCGCAGGCGGCCGAGUGUGUGAGGCGUGAAAGCCCGGGGCUUAACCCCGGAAUUGCACCUCAAACUACACGGCUAGAGCAUUGGAGAGGGUAGCAGAAUUCACGGUGUAGCAGUGAAAUGCGUAGAUAUCGUGAGGAAUACCAGAGGCGAAGGCGGCUACCUGGACAAUUGCUGACGCUCAGGCACGAAAGCGUGGGGAGCAAAAGGG